GAUGAAGAACGCAGCGAAAUGCGAUAAGUAAUGUGAAUUGCAGAAUUCAGUGAAUCAUCGAAUCUUUGAACGCACAUUGCGCCCGUUAGCAUUCUAGCGGGCAUGCCUGUCCGAGCGUCAUUUCAACCCUCAGGGUCCCCGUUCCGGCGGGGAACCUGGUGUUGGGGAUCGGCCCGCCCCGUGCGGCGCCGUCCCCCAAAUUCAGUGGCGGUCUCGCUGCAGCCUCCCCUGCAUAGUAGUUACAACCUCGCAUCGGAGCUCAGCGCGGCCACGCCGUAAAACCCCCGACUUUCUGAACGUUGACCUCGGAUCAGGUAGGAAUACCCGCUGAACUUAAGCAUAUCAAUAAGCGGAGGA
Molecule: unclassified non-coding RNA, 357 nt
Filed under: soil metagenome
Description: partial contains 5.8S ribosomal RNA, internal transcribed spacer 2, and large subunit ribosomal RNA
Rfam family: 5.8S ribosomal RNA (bases 1-120)
Source: RNAcentral